CACAUGUUGAUUCAUCUGCCCACAACGCUGAUGAGGGUUAUUCUCCUCCCCACCCGACCCCUCACACUCCCACGGGUGAUGAACCUUAAACUGUGGUCCUUCCCCAGCGGGCCUUCGCGGUGGCCGCACCAAGCUUGAGUGCAUCCCUCAGCACGGACUCCUGCAGACGAGAGUGAGCCAGUCGGCAGCAUUCAGUCAUGGACAUCUCCAUGUGCUGGCACACCACCAAGUUCCGGGCAGACCAAAGCGCGUCUUUCACCGAGUUGAUGAUCUGCCGGCAGCACCGGAUGUUUGUCUCCGUGUGCGUCCCCGAGAACAGCCCGUAGAUCACGGAGUCCUCGGUAACGCAGCUGCUGGGCAUGAAUCUUAGCACUGUCCCCUCCAUUCUCCUCCACACCUUUUUCGCGAACCCACAGUGUGCAAAGAGAGUUCCAGUGACUGGGACAAUCUCCAAGCAAAAUGCAAAUGAGGUGGGGGCCAGAUGUGCCAUGUUUGUCCUGAAGAAAUGUGGAGGUCACCCUGGGUCAGCUGAGUUGUGGAGCCUUCUCAGGGAAAAUUCUGAAGCCAAACUUGCACUCAUGGAUGCAGAGAUGUCCAAUACAUUCAAGUCUGUUUUCAGUAUCUACACAAGAGACCUUCGAAUGAAGCAAGAACCACAGCUGCGUCUUGAUUGUUUAAGAGAUGAAUGGGAAGAAGAUUUUCAAAAGCUCCCCAGAGCCCAGCUUCUGAAAAGUGCCAGUCAUGUGCAUAACUGCUUGGGCCUAAUGAAGAGGGCUUCCACUAUCAACAAAGAUAGGGCCACGGUUAUUAUCGCCAACAAUCCUUUGGCUGACCUCAAUGACCUGGAUGGCAAGGACACCCCAAUGCGCUUCCUAAGCAAGAAUCCAUCCAAGCUAAAAUAUCCUCUGAGGAAGCACCCAAUCUUACCUCCUCUAAAAGAUGGCAAAUGCCAACCUUCAAGCACCCCAAAGCAAGAAGAGAAGGGAACCUCUCAGGAAAAAAUUCUGCCAACUACAAAGAAAGAAUCGUUUGCCUCUUUGUCUAAGAGAAAGGACUGCAGGAAGAUUCCGAAGCCAGCUUAUCUACAGAGUCCAAAAUCAAUGGCUAAACCAAGUAACUGCACAACAGAUAAAAAAGGGUUUUAAAUAUUAGUGAAGAAAAUACAUUUCAUGGAAAUGAAUAUGCACAUUGUUUAGCUUUAGUGUUGCUCUGCCAACAAUUAUGAAGUUACAAGUAUCAGGUGCUUAGAGUAAGUGAGAGAUGAUCACUCACUUAGAGUAAGUGAGAGAUGAGAGAUGCGUCUCUCCCAUUCUUUACACUCCCUAUCCCACUAGACCUCUCCCAAUCCUCUUUCAUUACAACAAAUAUAUUGGGGGAAAGAGCUAUAAAAUUAUUAAAUAGAUGAGUUGAGGAAUCCGGAGCAGUAUUGUUGGAAAGAUGUGGUAUGCUAGAGAUAUAAUUGAUGAGAGUCUAGUCAAAACUACUGCAGAGCCUUUGUUCUAAUUCCAAGUUAUUUUUCAUGUGAAUGCUGCUUAUCUGAUGCUAUGUGUCCGUGAUGCAGCUUUGCCCUUGUGUGUACUCUACAUAUACUUGUGCCCAUAACAAUAAGCUUGACUUUGACUUUGAAAAACUACAGACUGGACUAAUCAAAUGAUAUGGACUCAAAUUCUGCCAUAACUAUUUCGUAUCUUAAUCAUAGUUAAUUGAAAUACAUUUUGAAUAUCUAUUAUCAGUAAUGAUAGGCACGAUACUACUGAAUAGCUGUGGAGAAAUGUGAUGUACAUUUGAGUCCAAAGCGGUUGACAAUUAACUGCCCAGUGAAAUAGCCCAGUAAAGCAUUCAGCUAAUGAAAUUCCAAGGGUUUGCUAAUAAACUCUGAUCUUGACAUUGAAUUCCAUAUUUCAAAAAUGAAGAUGAAGUGAUUUUUCAGAGUUACUGAACUAAAGCUUUUAAAAAUAAUAUUGGCUGAUUUUCAGAACAUGGAAUUGCCUGGAACCAGAACACAGGAGGUUUGAACCCCUGGUCUUUUGAACUAUCAGAGACAGAUACAAAUUUCCAUACUCUCUUGUGGGAGCCUUUGAUAGGGAGGGAUUUCAAGAGAUGUGAAUACAUAGCUUCAGGCAAGGGGAAUUUUAAGCAUGUUCUGGAUUCUCACUGAAAUGUCAGCGAGGAUCAGUUUGAAAUUAAUUAACGUAUCAGAAAAGGCUUAGAAAUGUUGAUUAAUAUAUAAGGCUGCAACUUCUGCACAACCCAUUGUCUGUAUUGGACAUGUACAGGUAAUGAUAACUGCAAGCUUGACCUAUAUUGAGUAGUAAAGUUAGAGCAAGCUUGUAAACUCAUUGCACGUUCCGUGCUCUCGAACAUCUGAUAUCAUAAGCACAAGAGAUUCUGCAGAUGCUGGAAAGCCAGAGCAAAACACAAAAAAUGCUGGAGGAACUCGUCAGGUCAGGCAGCAGUUGUGGAGGGGAAUAAGCAGUCAAUUGGGCCAGAACCCUUCAGCAGGAUUGGAAAGGAUGGGGGAACAAGUGAGAUUAAGAAGGUGGGGAGAGGGGAAGCAAGGUGAGUAGGGAUGAACUAAGCAGAUGGCAUAUGAAAGGUGGUUGACAUUUUGGGCUGAGAUUCUUCAUCAGCACCGGCUCGUAAUGCCAACUGUUUAUUCCUUUUCAUAGAUGCCGCUUGACCUGCUAAGUUCCUCCAGUGUUUGUGUAUGUGUGUGUGUUACUCUGGAUUUCCAGCAUCUGUAGAAUCCCUUGUGUUUGUGAGGUGUUAAGCGGACAAGGUAAAGGGCGGAAGAACAAGGAAUCUAAUUUGAGAGGACAGAGGACCAUGGAAGAAAGGAAAAGUGGAGGAGCACCAGAAGUAGGUGAACGGUGUGGAGUAAGAUUGAGGAGGAUCAAAGGGAGCUUUGCUACCGAACAAGAGUGCUACCUACACCUGGCCCGACAGUGUAGGGUACUGGUAGCUGGAACAAUGAAACCUCUGGUUACUAACUCUGAUUAUUUUCCACCUCGCUGAACAGAAGUAUUGCAAUAAGUGAAGAUAUUAGCUGAACUUGCACAGAUUACGAUGAAUUAGAUAAAAGGGUACAUUGUUCUAAGGGUGAAAUAUGAUUUGCAUGUUUGUGAUAACUCAGUCGUGUUCAGUCAUUGGAAAAACUAAUGAAUGUCCUUAUGUGAAACACACUCAAUAUUAUGUAAAUUUGCCAUUUUACACAUUCUGUCCCAUUUAUAUGAACAUAUAUAUGCAUUAUUUUAUUUACCAUGUACAAUAUACUGUAUUAAUGUGUACAAUAUAUAUUACUUUAAUGCACCAUGUUAUAUAGUAAAAAAAUUCUUUCUUACUGUAUAUCAGAGCAUUUGUACCUUUGUACACAAAAAUAUUUUAUUAAAGUAUAGAAAGUGUUAAUUAUAUAAAGUAGCAUCAUUUCAGUUUUACAUCUGUAUUAUAAGUAUUUGAUUUGUUUGGCUGAAGCUUUAUUGAUAUGUGACUAAGCAAUUUUCAUUUUUACUGUAUUUAAUUGUCUAAUUUUAUCAAGCAACGUGCUUUGAAUGCUGAGCAACACACACAAAAUGCAUAGGAAUUCAGCAGGCCAGGCAGCAUUUUGUGUGUAUUGCUCUGGAUUUCUAGUACUCUCUUGUGUUCAACUUCAAAUGCUGUUGUUUCAAGUGACUGUGGAUACAUUAUUUUGUGCAGUGAGAUGGGAAUCUUGAAAUAAAAGUAGUCAAUGCUGGAAAUACAUUAGAGAUUGCAAUAAAUGACAAAUAAGAGUGGUGUCUUGUAUCAUUCCCCUAACUCAUUCA
Molecule: RNA transcript, 3800 nt
Organism: Mobula hypostoma (lesser devil ray)
Lineage: Eukaryota; Metazoa; Chordata; Chondrichthyes; Myliobatiformes; Myliobatidae
Exons: 8
Source: RefSeq, a predicted model, not a curated record